GAAAUGCGAUAAGUAGUGUGAAUUGCAGAAUUCAGUGAAUCAUCGAAUCUUUGAACGCACAUUACGCCCUUUGGUAUUCCAAAGGGCAUGCCUGUUCGAGCGUCAUUUGUACCCUCAAGCUUUGCUUGGUGUUGGGCGUCUUGUCUCCAGUUCGCUGGAGACUCGCCUUAAAGUAAUUGGCAGCCGGCCUACUGGUUUCGGAGCGCAGCACAAGUCGCGCUCUCUUCCAGCCAAGGUCAGCAUCCACAAAGCCUUUUUUCAACUUUUGACCUCGGAUCAGGUAGGGAUACCCGCUGAACUUAAGC
This 305-nucleotide unclassified non-coding RNA is filed under the name plant metagenome. RNAcentral's name for it is "partial contains 5.8S ribosomal RNA, internal transcribed spacer 2, and large subunit ribosomal RNA". The stretch from base 1 to 105 matches the Rfam family "5.8S ribosomal RNA", at positions 50 to 154 of the family's 154-position model. The record is from RNAcentral.